GUUAAAGGGUUCGUAGUUGAAUUGUGGGCCACCGAGAAGACAGGUAAGUCCCCUUCCCACCACGGGUCGUGACUCCUGCGCUUGGGGCUCGAGAACGUUCGAAACUACUAUCACGGGAGCGUUUCCCUCACCUACGCGUGCAAUGUGCGCCGAGGGACGCCUGUGUUCAUUACUGUGACUAAAAAAGGGCGACUAAAGCAGUCCAUCGACAUGAAUUAGAAAGCAUGGGAUAACAAAGGAGCAGCCUAUAGGCUACAUUCAGCUUUUGUUGGUUUUACAGGUCUGUAGGAGAUUAUGGGCGCGCAUGACAAGCGGUUCGGGGUUCGUCCCCACGCCUCCGGUGAUGUCCGUUGGCUCCCAGUGGGUCGCGGCUCAUCGGCUUGCGCUGUCCAGGAAUGAAGGAGGGUUGUUCGGGGGAGAACGUACUUGGGC
RNAcentral lists this ribosomal RNA (432 nucleotides) under uncultured marine eukaryote. RNAcentral's name for it is "bacterial SSU rRNA". The record is from RNAcentral.